Molecule: long non-coding RNA, 1310 nt
Organism: Acinonyx jubatus (cheetah)
Lineage: Eukaryota; Metazoa; Chordata; Mammalia; Carnivora; Felidae
Exons: 3
Source: RefSeq, a predicted model, not a curated record
AAGAGGUCUAAGAAGGGAAAGUUUGAUUGGACUAAUUCAAGGGGUGAGGUUGAAGACUUAGGAAGUUAGAAACUGGAGAAGCUAAAGAAUAUGGCUGGUGAAGAAGGUACAGGUUGGUUAGGAAUGGGUCUAGAUUUAAGAGUGCCCUAGAAAGACUACUAAAGUCCCGUGGGGGGAUUUCCAGAAGCAGUUUUUAGGUGUUCCACGUAAAAACAACCCAGAGUGAAGAAGAAUCAAGGUUUUUUCUCAACAGGUCUUAGAAGGUACCCUGUUCUAGCAAACGAAUUUUAAAAAUUACAAUGAAAUAACCUCCAUGAAGUCAUUAUUGUAGUCACAAUUGGCUAGUCUUGUCAUUUCUUCCGAAUGUGAAACGAAGUCAGCUUCUUAAAAUGGGUAUUAGUUUAUCGACACAACUUAAUUGAGUUGGUGUAUCCGGCCUCCGAUUUUUAUUGAAACUGUGCUUGGAUCUGCCAACAUGAUUUCACCGGGUGUUCGUACAGGUUGGCUUUGGCUGAUCAGGAGCCAAAGGAACAAAGAUGCAGGGCUCAAACCCACAAACUGUGAGACCAUGACCUGAGCUGAAGUCAGAUGCUUAUUGGACUGAGUCACCUAGGCGCCCCAAGAGGAGAGCAUUUUUAUGGAGAUUUUGCUUAUUUUAAAUUUGUUUUAAUUAAUAAUCAUAAUAAUACUGUUGUUCCUGAACUAUAUUUCUAAGUCUUUGCCGUGGGACAGCUGUGAUGAAAUAUUCCACAUAUACUUCAAACCUAAAAUGUUCAAAAUUGGACUUCAUGUUGGUCUGCAACUCCACUACUUCUUUUUUCAUUUUUAUUCUCUCAGUUAAUGGUGCUAAAGGGCAUCAGAAUAUGCCACGCCAAAAUAUGGCACUUCAGCAUGACCGUUAUUUUCAGCUGAGGACAAUUGAGAAUCAACAGCUUCAGGAAGAAUUCUCUAGAACUCCCCUUAUCUGCUUAAAAGCAGUGCAUGAAUUUCCCUUUGUGAAGGUUUCUGCCCCCACCCCCAACUCCUGUAUCAGGAAGAAGAGAGGGACUCUUAUCACUGGUGAUAGUCAACACCCAGAAGCGUUUGCAUAAACAGAUCAACCACAACAACCCUUAUCUUCUAUCAGUUUCCCCAUGUAUUUCCAAGUCACUUCCCCACACUGUGUCAUCCCUUGAAGCCCAAGCCCCUUCCCCUUUGUUACAAUGAUGCACAAACCUUGAGUCUAACUGCUUCUUUGUGUCUUACUUCUUUUUGGUGAAUUCCUGUGCAUGUAAAUAUUAAUAAAAAUAGUGUGUCUUUUCUCCUGGUAA